AUACGUAGGUCCCGAACGUUGCGCGAAAUUACUGGGCGUAAAGGGUCCGUAGGCGGUCUGGUAAGUGGAAGGUGAAAGCCUGGGGCUCAACUCCAGAAUUGCCUUCCAAACUGCCGGACUUGAGGCAGGGAGAGGUCGGCGGAAUUCCCGGUGUAGUGGUGAAAUGCGUAGAUACCGGGAGGAACACCAGUGGCGAAGGCGGCCGACUGGAACUGUCCUGACGCUGAGGGACGAAAGCCAGGGGAGCGAACCGGAUUAGAAACCCUAGUAGUCC
Molecule: ribosomal RNA, 274 nt
Filed under: uncultured bacterium
Lineage: Bacteria
Description: partial 16S ribosomal RNA
Rfam family: Bacterial small subunit ribosomal RNA
Source: RNAcentral